AAUCCUUCUUCUGCUUGGGCGUUCCGUUUCCUGAUUCUUUUCCAAUCCGGUCUCCUGCCUCCCCACGCGUCGUUGGCCAGCGCCUAUAAGUACAAGGGCCGCGCCGUGCCUCCGUUCGCACAACCAGCUUUUCUCUCUCUGUUUCGUUCUCUCCAGCCCCAGCCGUCGCCCUCCUCUGCUUCGCGUUGGGGUUUCGCUAGGGCUUCCCUAGCGGCGAGAGGCGAGUUCGUCCGUCAUAUCAAGUUCUUGGGUGGAGGAGUUGCAGAUUCUCAUCUCGAGGAGAGGAGUUGGGCGUGCAAGAGUCGAUCUCAGCUCCUUCAUCGCCGGUGCAGACGGCCGUCAGGUUCAAAGCCCAUUUAGCAUUUUGUGGCCCAGUCGGCAAUAGUUGUUGGGCUGCUAGCUGUAGGCCUGGGAAAAAGGCUGGGACGUGAACCCGUUUUUGAGGUCAUCGAGGCAAAGCUCAAGCUCGGGAGAGGAUUAGAUAGCGAACCGGUACGCUAGCUUUUCACUUGGCGGUGGCAUCCCCAUGUAAAUUCAGUCAACUCUAACUUCUUUAUUUUCUGAGAUUUGGGAAAGACCAACUCCUCAACUCCUCGCUUUUUACACUACGACGCUCGCCAGCUUCUCGAUUGCUACUCUGCGGAGUCGGGGCGUUCGGCCCAGCUCCACUCGUGGAGUCGACGAAGCCAGGAUCUGGAGAGCUACUGAACACGCCCUAAAUAUACCUGGUUUUGCUACGGUUGGUUCCCCAACGCCCUCAACCCACAUGCUGUUUUGUGCUCCCUUUUUUGUUGGAAACUUACCCAAUUUAAUGGGGCAGAAGCACAUGGGUGGUGCCUAAAGAAACCCUAAAAAUAGCGAACGUGAAGACUAUUUGAAAGUAGGGAUGAAUGGCUGGACACCUCAUGUUGGUUAGCUUUAUUUGCCAUUGAUCCGGCGAAACAUGAAUUUGUACCUACAUUGUCACUCAUCACCGGGCAGCAUUUUUUGAGAUCUGUGCAUGUGAAGCCAUCCCGUUAAAAGAAUGCCAGCCUACGAGCAAGCUGUCCAAGAUUGAACUGACCAUGGAUUUAGAUGGACAAUGGUCUUGAGUCUCUCCUCAACAUGAAUUACUUUUAAUUUUAAAUGCUCUACGAGUGGCUUGUAUUUUAUUUUUGUUAGGAAAAUAUUAGGGUAAAACCCCAUUGCAGUUUUUAUAAAUAAUUAGAAUAACAAAGGUUAUUACAAGGCUAAGCCAAAAAAGGAAAAUAAAAUGGCUUAAAACUAGCUCUUAAUCGUCUUGGCUGAUUUAGCUCAUCGAAAAAAAAUCCUUCCACUUCA
Molecule: long non-coding RNA, 1320 nt
Organism: Triticum aestivum (bread wheat)
Lineage: Eukaryota; Viridiplantae; Streptophyta; Magnoliopsida; Poales; Poaceae
Exons: 2
Source: RefSeq, a predicted model, not a curated record